UGGGGAAGAUGACAUUGUUGAGGGACCUAUACUUAGGGUUUUUGGAUUUUGAGGUCGAAGCUUGGGUUUGAUCUCAUUUUAACCUAAUUAGUAGGUCAACGAAUGCGUUGGUGUGCUCGGCUCGGCGAUACGACGAGCGUACACGGAGAUAUUGAGAAAACAGGCUAAAUUGGUACAUAUCGUCGCAGCUUGUGGCGUAGAGGUCUAAAAAUCACGAAAACAGGAUCACGGCAUCCUAGCAUACCCACAGGUGGGGGGUGCUAUCCGGAAACACCGAAUUUCCUUCUAUGUCUAUGUUACCAUUAUUGAGCAUACUGAUGUUAGCAUUCAUGCAUAUAGGGUAGUGUGAUGAAUAUGAUUGGUUGAGAUUCAAUUGUAUGCUAGAGAACAUAUGAAUUGAUAUAGAACCAUGUGAACUAAGAAUGUGAAAAACCCUAUGUGUAUGUGAAUGUAUGUAAAAGAGACUAUGACAAUAGUAAACAAUGGUGACAUUGACAUUAGUGACGAGAUUGGCACCGAGAAUGUAAAUGACUAAACAAGGUUUAGCUUAUUGUGGCAUCAGGACCAUUGUGGCUCAGGUAUAGUGGAAACGUGAUAUGGUAAUAACCUAUCAU
Molecule: long non-coding RNA, 614 nt
Filed under: Ananas comosus (pineapple)
Lineage: Eukaryota; Viridiplantae; Streptophyta; Magnoliopsida; Poales; Bromeliaceae
Description: long non-coding RNA (ACOM_LNC042449)
Source: RNAcentral